This 415-nucleotide ribosomal RNA is filed under the name uncultured archaeon. Its description in RNAcentral is "partial 16S ribosomal RNA". It matches the Rfam family "Archaeal small subunit ribosomal RNA", at positions 330 to 747 of the family's 1478-position model. The record is from RNAcentral.
GCGCAGCAGGCGCGAAAACUCCGCAAUGUGCGAAAGCACGACGGGGUUACCCUGAGUGCUACCUGCUGAAGGUAGCUUUUGCCUAGUGUAAAUAGCUGGGCGAAUAAGGGGAGGGCAAGUCUGGUGUCAGCCGCCGCGGUAAUACCAGCUCCCCGAGUGAUAGGGACGAUUAUUUAGCCUAAAGCGUCCGUAGCCGGCUUGGCAAGUUCUCAGUUAAAUCUGGUGAUUCAAUCAUCAGGCUGCUGGGAAUACUGCUAAGCUAGGAGGCGGGAGAGGCUAACGGUAUUCUCGGAGUAGGGGUGAAAUCCUAUAAUUCCGAGAGGACCACCAGUGGCGAAGGCGGUUAGCUAGAACGCGCUCGACGGUAAGGGACGAAAGCUGGGGGAGCGAACCGGAUUAGAUACCCGGGUAGUCC